This 684-nucleotide unclassified non-coding RNA is filed under the name Hevea brasiliensis (rubber tree). Lineage: Eukaryota; Viridiplantae; Streptophyta; Magnoliopsida; Malpighiales; Euphorbiaceae. The record is from RNAcentral.
UGCUCAGGUGACAUCUGUCAUUUGCAUUGAGGAUGGAGUAGCUAUACCCAAUACAGAAAAGACUUUGCCCUUUGGUGGAGAGGUAUGGAUUCUGUUUACAUGUUUCAAUUCAUUACUAAGCCACUGAACCUGUUUCUGAGCUUCAUUAUGCAAGGAAAUUGCUGCAACUUAAAUUCAUCUAUUGCCUAAUGGAUUUUUUUUUUAAUGUUUUCCUCAAAAGCCAAACAUUUAUGUUCAUGAAUUUUACAUAUUGUCAAUAAAAAAUUUUAUAAAAUGUGUAGCAGAAGAUAAAAUGGACCCUUUGAUUGAGAACUAUAACAUGAAAUAACAAAUGGAAUAAACUAAUUUACCUGAUUCUAAAUUACCCAUGGCAGGGUGGAAAGCAUAGUUGAUAAUAGAAUGUAAUGUAAUGGCUGUUAAAUACAGUUUUGAAGGGGGCCUUUACCGUUGUAUAAAUGAAAUAACAGAGGUUAAAAUUUUGUAGGUGUAGCAGCUGUUGCGUCCAUUACGUAAUGUUAAUGGAGAUUAAGUAAUGAGUAACGGCCGUUGCUCAUGUGCCUUUUUAUUUUGGAGCAGAGGGGCAUAGAGUUUAUUUCUUUCUAGUUUCUAGGAUUCCUCUUUUGUUUCUCUCAACUUUCCAACUCAAAUUUUUCAUCUCCUAUAAAUCUUCAUUUCUUGAGCUAA